AGGGCACCACCAGGAGUGGAGCCUGCGGCUUAAUUUGACUCAACACGGGGAAACUCACCCGGCCCGGACACCGUAAGGAUUGACAGAUUGAUAGCUUUUUCAUGAUUCGGUGGAUGGUGGUGCAUGGCCGUUCUUAGUUCGUGGAGCGAUUUGUCUGGUUUAUUCCGAUAACGAGCGAGACUCUAGCCUACUAAAUAGUUCGCACAUUGUCUCUGUGUGUGUGACUUCUUAGAGGGACAAGCGGCGUCUAGCCGCACGAGAUUGAGCAAUAACGGGUCUGUGAUGCCCUUAGAUGUCCGGGGCUGCACGCGCGCUACACUGAAAGGGCCAACGUGCAUUAAACCCUUAUCCGGAGGGAUUGGGUAACCCCACGAAAUACUUUCGUGAUUGGGAUAGGGAAUUGGAAUUAUUUUCCCUUGAGCGAGGAAUUCCCAGGAAAGUGCCGGGGCAUAAGCUCGCGUUGAUUACGUCCCUGCCCCUUUGUAACACACCCGCCCGUCGUUUCUACGGAAUGGAACG
Molecule: ribosomal RNA, 519 nt
Filed under: uncultured eukaryote
Lineage: Eukaryota
Description: bacterial SSU rRNA
Rfam family: Eukaryotic small subunit ribosomal RNA
Source: RNAcentral